UAUUCUUAAAAGUUUCUUGCUGAGCUAAAGGGAAUAAAUUAUGAUGAUUACUGCCAGAUUGUCAUCCAAAAGGAUUAUUCCAUUUUAAACUCAUAAAAAGUGCCUAAGAGUAUUUCUCAACAGGCUUGCUGUGUGGUUUUAAAACAUGUCUACAGAUUCUCUGACACUCCUCUUCCCUUCCCUUAACAUCUCAGAGGCCUUUGUACUUGCCUCAACAAAUCGCCACAAAAUAUGUGAUGGAAGUGAUGCUGCUUCUAGGACUUCUGCAAGUUUCUCUCGGCACACUGGCCUGGGAGCCUUCAGCUGCCAGGACCUAAUGUGCCACAUGAACAGGAGAAGAGCAAAAUGGGAAAGACAGCUUAAGGAGAGAAUAGUAAAGGUUUGAAACAGACCCAGACAAAAUGGUUGAGUAGAGGCAAAAGGACUGUACAGACGGUAGCCAUUUGCUGACAUUCCCUGAAUGACGAAUUGUGGAAUGAAUUAGAGCUGCUGCACAUUCUGAAGAUUUCAAAAGUAGCUGUGCUUCAGUUAAGUGCUUAUUCAAUUUUCAGAUGAAGUCAUCAAAUUAAUUUUAAAACUCACAAAAUAAAUAUGUGCUUUAAAAUAUAUGUUUUUUCCUAAGAAAGUAAAAAUUAUCUGUUUAGGUUGUGAGAAUAUUUAAUAGUGUCAAAAAUAAAAGAGAGAGAAAAGGCUUCAACUUUUAGUUAAAUACCCAACAGCAAACUAUCUAAUCAAUAGGGUAUUUCUAGGCAUUUUCCUGGUGAAUUGACUACAGUUCUACAUAUGCAAACCCCAUGGCUUUAAUUUGUCUUUAAUUAAUAAAUUCUUUGACAAUUUGGUCUCUUGAACCUAUGAUUUUUUUUGUUCUCAUCAGAAAUAUGAACCUUAAAUAUAGUUGAAUACAGGCAAAAAUUAAAUAAAUUCAAUGACCAUGUAUUAUUCAUGGAAGCAACCAUAAAGAAAGUUAACCUUGAAAAUAUAUUGCUUUCUUUUUUUCCAUUAAUGUAUUUGGUUGGGAGUUUAUACCAAAUGAUUACUCAGUGAUGCUUUUAUUAAAACUACACCUCAAGGCCAUUCAGCCUGCUGUUUAAGGUUUUGCUCAAAAGAAAUAGCAGAAAGAAGUCAAGGUCAAAAAAAAAAAAAACAAAAACAAAAACACAAAACCUAAAUGUAUGUGAAGAUAAAGGAAAUAUUCUUUAGAUCAACAAAAAACAUUGAUAACAGAAUGUAGUAUUAAUACCAAAAAAUUGAAAGGAAACCAAUACACUAUCUUAUAAACAUAUGUAACCAAAUAUAAUAUAAAGAAUUGCUGUUAAAAUAUGUAAAUAGAAGUCAGUAAUUUAUCAAGUGACUUUAAUAAAUCACAAAUCACCUUUUAAGCUACUGGGAAAAAAGGUUACUAACUUUAUUGAUAGAAAUAUAUUAUCGGGGAAGUGAGAACAAAUCGUAUUUCUUUCCAGUUCGGAAACAAUUGGUAAAAUCAACAAACUGUUGUUUAGAUAUCUUCACAAGAACAAUGAAUAAUGAGAAAGCUAUACCCAAUAUUUCCUUAAAAGUCCCUUUGGCCCUUGUCAAUCUACAAGUCCCCCAUUCCCAGUGGUGCACAAUUUCAACCCAGAUGACAGUUCAUUUUCAGAAAGGGGGCUUGUAUUAUAGGAGGCUCACAUAACAUAGGAAUUGCCUGAAUAUUCUGCACCUCCCUUCUAUGUAGCCUAGUCGAUAACUAUACACAAGUCAAGGAAAAAAAAAAAAUUUCCUUGAUCCCAGAGAACUUAAUUAUCCAACAAGGUGAAGUUUACACCUAUAAGCACUAAGAUGGGGACACAUGCACAUAUACCCUCCUUUUCAUUAAUCUUUCAUGUAAAACAUAAUUUAGUCAAUUCUUGAGGACUCAGGUGGCAACAUUAAAAAUAACACUCACUGAUUCAACUGUAAGCAAAUCCUACCUGCCUCAUGGCAUGGGAAUAGAAACAUAAACAUGAUAGUUCCAUUCUCAAGGAUUCAACAUUUCACUGGGCAGAAAAACAAGUAAAUAACCAUGAUUUUUAAAAUGCGUGAGUGCACCUGUAGUUCAAGCUACAUGGGAAGCUG
Molecule: long non-coding RNA, 2091 nt
Filed under: Homo sapiens (human)
Lineage: Eukaryota; Metazoa; Chordata; Mammalia; Primates; Hominidae
Description: HSALNT0358146
Source: RNAcentral